RNAcentral lists this ribosomal RNA (447 nucleotides) under uncultured bacterium. RNAcentral describes it as "bacterial SSU rRNA". It matches the Rfam family "Bacterial small subunit ribosomal RNA", at positions 355 to 825 of the family's 1533-position model. The record is from RNAcentral.
UGGGGAAUAUUGGACAAUGGGCGAAAGCCUGAUCCAGCAAUGCCGCGUGAGUGAUGAAGGCCCUAGGGUUGUAAAGCUCUUUUACCAGGGAUGAUAAUGACAGUACCUGGAGAAUAAGCUCCGGCUAACUCCGUGCCAGCAGCCGCGGUAAUACGGAGGGAGCUAGCGUUGUUCGGAAUUACUGGGCGUAAAGCGUACGUAGGCGGUUAUUCAAGUCAGAGGUGAAAGCCCGGGGCUCAACCCCGGAACGGCCUUUGAAACUAGGUAGCUAGAAUCUUGGAGAGGUCAGUGGAAUUCCGAGUGUAGAGGUGAAAUUCGUAGAUAUUCGCAAGAACACCAGUGGCGAAGGCGGCUCACUGGCCCGGUACUGACGCUGAGGUGCGAAAGCGUGGGGAGCAAACAGGAUUAGAUACCCCUGUAGUCCCUGAGCGGGCUGGCAAGGCGCAU